Molecule: ribosomal RNA, 1586 nt
Filed under: metagenome
Description: bacterial LSU rRNA
Rfam family: Bacterial large subunit ribosomal RNA
Source: RNAcentral
UUGGAUUUAAGUGAGAAUCUUAAAAGCCGAAUAUCUAAGGUUUCCAGGGUAAAGCUGAUCUUCCCUGGGUAAGUCGGGGCCUAAGGCGAGGGCGAGAGCCGUAGUCGAUGGAUAACAGGUUGAAAUUCCUGUACUGCUUAUGGACAGAACUGUGGGGACGCAGAAGGAGAGCACGAGCCGGAAAUGGAAAAGCCGGUACAAGCGUAUAGCAGUCAUGCAGGCAAAACCGCAUGAAAAAUGUAAAGCGUUAUGUGGAUCGAACAUUAGUAGAGAAGCGUGUGAGCCAGCUGCCAAGAAAAGCCGCUAUUGCUUCAUAAGUACCCGUACCGUAAACCGACACAGGUGGAUGAGGAGAGAAUCCUAAGGCCGGCGGGAGAAGUGUUGUUAAGGAACUCGGCAAAAUGACUCCGUAACUUCGGGAGAAGGAGUGCCACAGAGAUGUGGCCGCAGAGAAAUGGCCCAAGCAACUGUUUAGCAAAAACACAGGUCUAUGCAAAACCGAAAGGUGAGGUAUAUGGGCUGACGCCUGCCCGGUGCUGGAAGGUUAAGAGGAGAGGUUAGAGCAAUCGAAGCUUUGAAUUUAAGCCCCAGUAAACGGCGGCCGUAACAAUAACGGUCCUAAGGUAGCGAAAUUCCUUGUCGGGUAAGUUCCGACCCGCACGAAAGGCGUAAUGAUUUGGGCACUGUCUCAACAACACACCCGGUGAAAUUGAAAUACCAGUGAAGAUGCUGGUUACCUGCGCCAGGACGGAAAGACCCCAUGGAGCUUUACUCCAGUUUGAUACUGGGAUUCGGUACUGUCUGUACAGGAUAGGUGGGAGGCUAGGAAAUGGUGACGCCAGUUGCCAUGGAGCCAACCUUGGGAUACCACCCUUACAGUACUGGGUUUCUAACCUGCAGCCGUGACCCGGCUGGGGGACAAUGUCUGACGGGGAGUUUGACUGGGGCGGUCGCCUCCGAAAGAGUAUCGGAGGCGCUCAAAGGUUCCCUCAGAACGGUUGGAAACCGUUCGAAGAGUGCAAAGGCAGAAGGGAGCUUGACUGCGACACCGACGGGUGGAGCAGAUACGAAAGUAGGACUUAGUGAUCCGGUGGUAUAAAGUGUGAUUGCCAUCGCUCAACGGAUAAAAGCUACCCUGGGAUAACAGGCUUAUCACUCCCAAGAGUUCACAUCGACGGAGUGGUUUGGCACCUCGAUGUCGGCUCAUCGCAUCCUGGAGCUGUAGCAGGUUCCAAGGGUUGGGCUGUUCGCCCAUUAAAGCGGUACGCGAGCUGGGUUCAGAACGUCGUGAGACAGUUCGGUCCCUAUCCGGCGUGGGCGUAGGAUAUUUGAGAGGAGCUGUCCUUAGUACGAGAGGACCGGGAUGGACAAACCUCUGGUGUAUCUGUUGUUUUACCAAAGGCAUGGCAGAGUAGCCAAGUUUGGCAGGGAUAAACGCUGAAGGCAUCUAAGCGUGAAGCCCCCCUCAAGAUAAGAUAUCCCAUCUUCGGAGUAAGACCCCUUGAAGACUACAAGGUUGAUAGGCUUCAGGUGUAAGUGUGGUAACGCACUCAGCUGAGAAGUACUAAUAGGUCGAGGACUUAUCA